This 255-nucleotide ribosomal RNA is filed under the name uncultured bacterium. Its description in RNAcentral is "partial 16S ribosomal RNA". It matches the Rfam family "Bacterial small subunit ribosomal RNA", at positions 524 to 777 of the family's 1533-position model. The record is from RNAcentral.
UACGUAGGGUGCGAGCGUUGCCCGGAUUUAUUGGGCGUAAAGGGCGCGUAGGCGGCCACGCACGUCCGUUGUCGAAAUCGCCCGGCUCAACUGGGCGGGGUCAGCGGAUACGGCGCGGCUGGAGCAAGCUAGGGGGCAAUGGGAAUUCCCGGUGUAGUGGUGGAAUGCGUAGAUAUCGGGAGGAACACCAGUGGCGAAGGCGGUUGCCUGGAGCUUGCUGACGCUGAUGCGCGAAAGCGUGGGGAGCGAGUCCGG